GACGAACGCUGGCGGCGUGCUUAACACAUGCAAGUCGAACGGUAAGGCCCUUCGGGGUACACGAGUGGCGAACGGGUGAGUAACACGUGGGUGAUCUGCCCUGCACUUCGGGAUAAGCUUGGGAAACUGGGCCUAAUACCGGAUAGGACCACGGUCUGCAUGGAUUGUGGUGGAAAGCUUUUGCGGUGUGGGAUGGGGCCCGCCGGCCUAUCAGCUUGUUGGUGGGGUGAUGGCCUACCAAGGCGACGACGGGUAGCCGGCCUGAGAGGGUGUCCGGCCACACUGGGACUGAGAUACGGCCCAGACUCCUACGGGAGGCAGCAGUGGGGAAUAUUGCACAAUGGGCGCAAGCCUGAUGCAGCGACGCCGCGUGGGGGAUGACGGCCUUCGGGUUGUAACCGUACUUUCUAGCAGGGACGAAGGGUGAC
RNAcentral lists this ribosomal RNA (428 nucleotides) under uncultured bacterium. Its description in RNAcentral is "bacterial SSU rRNA". It matches the Rfam family "Bacterial small subunit ribosomal RNA", at positions 28 to 456 of the family's 1533-position model. The record is from RNAcentral.